This 508-nucleotide ribosomal RNA is filed under the name uncultured bacterium. RNAcentral's name for it is "bacterial SSU rRNA". It matches the Rfam family "Bacterial small subunit ribosomal RNA", at positions 791 to 1299 of the family's 1533-position model. The record is from RNAcentral.
UAGUCCACGCCGUAAACGAUGUGUGCUAGAUGUCGGGCCCUUAGGGUUCGGUGUCGCAGCUAACGCACUAAGCACACCGCCUGGGGAGUACGGUCGCAAGAUUAAAACUCAAAGGAAUUGACGGGGACCCGCACAAGCGGUGGAGCAUGUUGUUUAAUUCGACGCAACGCGAAGAACCUUACCAGCCCUUGACAUACUGGUCGCGGAUUUCAGAGAUGAUUUCCUUCAGCUUGGCUGGACCAUGUACAGGUGCUGCACGGCUGUCGUCAGCUCGUGUCGUGAGAUGUUGGGUUAAGUCCCGCAACGAGCGCAACCCUCAUCCUUAGUUGCUAACAUUCAGUUGAGAACUCUAAGGAAACUGCCGGUGAUAAACCGGAGGAAGGUGGGGAUGACGUCAAGUCUUCAUGGCCCUUAUGGGCUGGGCUACACACGUGCUACGAUGGCCGGUACAGAGGGCAGCCACUACGCGAGUAGGAGCGAAUCCUUAAAACCGGUCUCAGUUCGGAUC